Molecule: transfer RNA, 66 nt
Filed under: Macrocheles muscaedomesticae
Lineage: Eukaryota; Metazoa; Arthropoda; Arachnida; Mesostigmata; Macrochelidae
Description: tRNA-Phe
Source: RNAcentral
AUUUUUAUAGUUUAAUUAAAACAUGACCUUGAAAAUGUCAAAAAAAUCUAUAAUGAUUUAAGAGUA